RNAcentral lists this ribosomal RNA (460 nucleotides) under uncultured bacterium. RNAcentral's name for it is "partial 16S ribosomal RNA". It matches the Rfam family "Bacterial small subunit ribosomal RNA", at positions 338 to 795 of the family's 1533-position model. The record is from RNAcentral.
CCUACGGGUGGCAGCAGUGAGGAAUAUUGGUCAAUGGACGAGAGUCUGAACCAGCCAAGUAGCGUGAAGGAUGACUGCCCUAUGGGUUGUAAACUUCUUUUAUAUGGGAAUAAAAUGUUCCACGUGUUGGAUUAUGUAUGUACCAUAUGAAUAAGGAUCGGAUAAACCCGGGUAAGCAGCCGCGGUAAUACGGAGGAUCCGAUCGUUAUCCGGAUUUAUUGGGUAUAAAGGGUUCGUAGGUGGAUUUAUAAGUCAGUUGGGAAAGUUUGCGGCUCAAUCGUAAAAUGGCAGUUGAUACUGGCAGUCUAGAGUACGAUAGAGGUGAGCGGAAUUAGUGGUGUAGCGGUAAAAUGCGUAAAUAUCACGAAGAACUCCAGUUGCGAAGGCAGCUCACUGGACUGCAACUGACACUGAGGCUCGAAAGUGUGGGUAUCAAACAGGAUUAGAUACCCGUGUAGUC